RNAcentral lists this ribosomal RNA (366 nucleotides) under Triticum aestivum (bread wheat). RNAcentral's name for it is "partial small subunit ribosomal RNA". Lineage: Eukaryota; Viridiplantae; Streptophyta; Magnoliopsida; Poales; Poaceae. The record is from RNAcentral.
AUGGGCGAACGGAAAGAAGCAACGGUGCCGAGCGUGGCCUGUGUGGGAGGAGGCAGCGGCGGCAGUGGAUCGAGAUCGAGCUCAUGCAAACGCGCAUCUGCUGUUUGCAAAAUCAGCAAGCGCAGCCAGCAGGGGAUCUUUAAGAAGAUGAAGCCAAUUGCUGCUUAUUUUGGAACUCCACCAUCUAAUGAAUUUCAAGCUCCUGUUCAUGUUCCUGAACCUGAUGCGAACAUUUUAUCCACUGAAGCCUCAGAUGCAAACAUUGUAGAAGAUCUAGUUCCUGAACCUGAAGUGUAUAAUGAGGGCUCUCAUGAUAACACUUUACAAACUUCUAUUCUAGGAUUUAGUUGCUUCGUUUUGUAUUAA